This 698-nucleotide ribosomal RNA is filed under the name uncultured fungus. RNAcentral's name for it is "eukaryotic LSU rRNA". The stretch from base 462 to 698 matches the Rfam family "Eukaryotic large subunit ribosomal RNA", at positions 1 to 235 of the family's 3401-position model. The record is from RNAcentral. Lineage: Eukaryota; Fungi.
GGAAGGAUCAUUAUCAGAAAGUAAACGCGGGUUUAACCGCGAAUUUCUAAACCUUUGACGAUCGACUCAUGUUGCCUCGGCGGCUUCGCCCACCAGAGGAUACAUCAAAACUCCUGUUUUAACGGUGUUGUCUGAGCUACAAAGCAAAGAAUCAAAACUUUCAACAACGGAUCUCUUGGUUCUGGCAUCGAUGAAGAACGCAGCGAAAUGCGAUAAGUAGUGUGAAUUGCAGAAUUCAGUGAAUCAUCGAAUCUUUGAACGCACAUUGCGCCCCUCGGUAUCCCGAGGGGCAUGCCUGUUCGAGCGUCAUUUCACCACUCAAGCCUGGCUUGGUGUUGGGCGACGUCCUCCUCGGGGACGCGUCUCGAAACGCUCGGCGGCGUGGCACCGGCUUUAAGCGCAGCAGAACCUUUCGCUUUGAAAGUCGGGGCCCCGCCUGCCGGAAGGCCUACUCGUAAGGUUGACCUCGGAUCAGGCAGGGAUACCCGCUGAACUUAAGCAUAUCAAUAAGCGGAGGAAAAGAAACCAACAGGGAUUGCCUCAGUAACGGCGAGUGAAGCGGCAACAGCUCAAAUUUGAAAUCUGGCUCUUUUAGGGCCCGAGUUGUAAUUUGUAGAGGAUGCUUCGGCGUCGGCUCCGGUCUAAGUUCCUUGGAACAGGACGUCAUAGAGGGUGAGAAUCCCGUAUGUGAUCGGUUG